This 204-nucleotide ribosomal RNA is filed under the name uncultured bacterium. RNAcentral's name for it is "partial 16S ribosomal RNA". It matches the Rfam family "Bacterial small subunit ribosomal RNA", at positions 568 to 771 of the family's 1533-position model. The record is from RNAcentral.
CACGUAGGCGGAUACUUAAGUUAGGGGUGAAAUCCCAGGGCUCAACCCUGGAACUGCCUUUAAUACUGGGUAUCUCGAGUCCGAGAGAGGUGAGUGGAAUUCCGAGUGUAGAGGUGAAAUUCGUAGAUAUUCGGAGGAACACCAGUGGCGAAGGCGGCUCACUGGCUCGGUACUGACGCUGAGGUGCGAAAGCGUGGGGAGAAC